This 509-nucleotide ribosomal RNA is filed under the name uncultured bacterium. Its description in RNAcentral is "bacterial SSU rRNA". It matches the Rfam family "Bacterial small subunit ribosomal RNA", at positions 501 to 1009 of the family's 1533-position model. The record is from RNAcentral.
CUACGUGCCAGCAGCCGCGGUAAUACGUAGGUCCCGAGCGUUGUCCGGAUUUAUUGGGCGUAAAGCGAGCGCAGGCGGUUAGAUAAGUCUGAAGUUAAAGGCUGUGGCUUAACCAUAGUACGCUUUGGAAACUGUUUAACUUGAGUGCAAGAGGGGAGAGUGGAAUUCCAUGUGUAGCGGUGAAAUGCGUAGAUAUAUGGAGGAACACCGGUGGCGAAAGCGGCUCUCUGGCUUGUAACUGACGCUGAGGCUCGAAAGCGUGGGGAGCAAACAGGAUUAGAUACCCUGGUAGUCCACGCCGUAAACGAUGAGUGCUAGGUGUUAGACCCUUUCCGGGGUUUAGUGCCGCAGCUAACGCAUUAAGCACUCCGCCUGGGGAGUACGACCGCAAGGUUGAAACUCAAAGGAAUUGACGGGGGCCCGCACAAGCGGUGGAGCAUGUGGUUUAAUUCGACGCAACGCGAAGAACCUUACCAGGUCUUGACAUUGAUGGACAGAACUAGAGAUAG